GCUGGGCGUGGUGGCGGACGCCUGUAGUCCCAGCUACUUGGGAGGCUGAGGCAGGAGAAUGGCGUGAACCCGGGAGGCGGAGCUUGCAGUGAGCCAAGAUGGUGCCACUGCACUCCAGCCUGGGUGACAGUGCAAGACUCUGUCUCAA
RNAcentral lists this non-coding RNA (148 nucleotides) under Nomascus leucogenys (northern white-cheeked gibbon). The record is from Rfam by way of RNAcentral. Lineage: Eukaryota; Metazoa; Chordata; Mammalia; Primates; Hylobatidae.